Non-coding RNA from Biomphalaria pfeifferi, 1092 nucleotides. NCBI's taxonomy places the organism in Eukaryota, Metazoa, Mollusca, Gastropoda, Planorbidae. The record is from the annotation of a GenBank genome assembly.
AAAAAAAAAAAAAAAGACUUGACAGAAUGCACAAUACUAAGAGUUGCCCAUCUAAUGCCCAAGUGUACAUGUCAUAGCAAGUGUUCAAGGUAAUCUCUAACUGGCCCUAGAGCAGUUUUCUCAGCAAAUAUUGUUCCAAAAGCUGUUCUGUAGCUAGAUUUGUGGAUACAUUUUGAAACAAUAUUGCAUAUUUCCUUCCAAUGUUGUCCCUCAACCAUAUGCUACAAUACAAAAUUGUCUAUGUUCACUCCUAGAUCUAUAACUUGGCUUAAUCGUAUCAAAAGGUUUCUGUAUCUACAAUAAAAUACAGAGGUCUAGCUGCAUCUUACAAAUAGUAUAAAACUAAACCAGCACACCUGUAUUGCUUUUACAGACUUCAAUGUGUACAACAGCAUGCCAACUCACAGGUCUUCUCAUAGUGCCUGCACAUCAAAUAAUGGGUGAAAAACAGCCUUUGUUGACAAACAUGUGGUUUCAAGAGAAAUGUGUGCUUGGUAUAUAGAAAAGGUUCUCCCUAGUUGAGACUUCAAACCCAGUUAGAAGGUAACACAAUGAUCUAGCACUGAGUUCCUUGUUAUGGUUUGGAUAGAAUCAGUGAUGCUUGAGGAUAAAAUGUUUAUAAUCAAAGCAGUUCUUACAUCAACAUCUUCAGUCAAAGACACUUUCAAGCAAGGGGGUUGAUUCUACAUAUACAGUUAAUGCUGGGUGCCUCAGUCUAGUCGGCCUGGGUUUUUUUUUUUUUAUGGUCAGGGACUGUCUCAAGUGAGGUUUAAUAACCUUUAGAGGUGAAGAGUCACUGACAUGUAUCACACACAGGUUUGACCUUAUGAAACUUGCAAGUCAUCAUAGAAGUGUGCUCAGCCCUUCAGGUACAAGUCAAUCUGAAUGUGGGUUAAGCCUGUCAAUAUACAGAUCUUGCACUUAACUUGUUUAAAACAUGUCAGACCAGGGAAAGCUCUUGGCUCAGAGGAAGGUGGGGCUUAGACCAGGACAGCUCUAGGCUCACAGAGGAACUGGCAGUAAAAAAAAUUGGUGCACCCAUAGACCGCUAAUAUAAAUGUAAAAUAUACAUAUAUAUAUAUAUAUAUACAU